UACGUAGGGGGCAAGCGUUGUCCGGAUUUAUUGGGCGUAAAGAGCGUGUAGGCGGCUGGGUAGGUCCGUUGUGAAAACUCGAGGCUCAACCUCGAGACGCCGAUGGAAACCCUCCAGCUAGAGUCCGGAAGAGGAGAGUGGAAUUCCUGGCGUAGCGGUGAAAUGCGCAGAUAUCAGGAAGAACACCAAUGGCGAAAGCAGCUUUCUGGGACGGUACUGACGCUGGAGACGCGAAAGCGUGGGGAGCGAACAGG
This 254-nucleotide ribosomal RNA is filed under the name uncultured bacterium. Its description in RNAcentral is "partial 16S ribosomal RNA". It matches the Rfam family "Bacterial small subunit ribosomal RNA", at positions 524 to 776 of the family's 1533-position model. The record is from RNAcentral.